This 279-nucleotide ribosomal RNA is filed under the name uncultured bacterium. RNAcentral's name for it is "partial 16S ribosomal RNA". It matches the Rfam family "Bacterial small subunit ribosomal RNA", at positions 506 to 784 of the family's 1533-position model. The record is from RNAcentral.
UGCCAGCAGCCGCGGUAAUACGGAGGGGGUUAGCGUUGUUCGGAAUUACUGGGCGUAAAGCGUACGUAGGCGGAUCAGAAAGUAAGGGGUGAAAUCCCACGGCUCAACCGUGGAACUGCCUCUUAAACUCCUGGUCUUGAGUUCGAGAGAGGUGAGUGGAACUCCGAGUGUAGAGGUGAAAUUCGUAGAUAUUCGGAAGAACACCAGUGGCGAAGGCGGCUCACUGGCUCGAUACUGACGCUGAGGUACGAAAGUGUGGGGAGCAAACAGGAUUAGAUA